Molecule: ribosomal RNA, 477 nt
Filed under: uncultured Glomeromycotina
Lineage: Eukaryota; Fungi; Glomeromycota
Description: SSU rRNA
Rfam family: Eukaryotic small subunit ribosomal RNA
Source: RNAcentral
CAUGAUGUCAUUCAUUUGNUGUUGUGGGNAAUUAGGACUGUUACCUUGAAAAAAUUAGAGUGUUUAAAGCAGGCUAACGCUUGAAUACAUUAGCACGGAAUAAUGAAAUAGGACAUCCCAUUCUAUUUUGUUGGUUUCUAGGAUCGAUGUAAUGAUUAAUAGGGAUAGUUGGGGGCAUUAGUAUUCAAUUGUCAGAGGUGAAAUUCUUGGAUUUAUUGAAGACUAACUACUGCGAAAGCAUUUGCCAAGGAUGUUUUCAUUAAUCAAGAACGAAAGUUAGGGGAUCGAAGACGAUCAGAUACCGUCGUAGUCUUAACCAUAAACUAUGCCGACUAGGGAUCGGAUGAUGCUNAUCUUUUAAUGACUCAUUCGGCACCUUACGGGAAACCAAAGUGUUUGGGUUCCGGGGGGAGUAUGGUCGCAAGGCUGAAACUUAAAGGAAUUGACGGAAGGGCACCACCAGGGGUGGAGCCUGCG